RNAcentral lists this ribosomal RNA (496 nucleotides) under Boana faber (blacksmith treefrog). RNAcentral's name for it is "partial large subunit ribosomal RNA". It matches the Rfam family "Bacterial large subunit ribosomal RNA", at positions 1953 to 2597 of the family's 2925-position model. The record is from RNAcentral. Lineage: Eukaryota; Metazoa; Chordata; Amphibia; Anura; Hylidae.
AAGGUAGCGUAAUCACUUGUUCUUUAAAUAAGGACUGGUAUGAAUGGCACCACGAGGGUUACACUGUCUCCUCUUUCUAAUCAGUGAAACUAAUCUCCCCGUGAAGAAGCUGGGAUUUUUUUAUAAUGACGAGAAGACCCUAUGGAGCUUUAAACUACUAACACUUGCUGCCAUUCACUCCCCCUUCCAGAAACUUUUUAUUAAGCAUACUUUCAUGAUUAAUAGUUUUCGAUUGGGGUGAUCGCGGAGUAAAAAACAACCUCCAUGCCAAAAGGGCUUCCUCCCCUGAGCCAAAAGCUACAACUUAUAGCACUAAAAAAUUAACGUUUAUUGACCCAAUAAUUUUGAUCAACGAACCAAGUUACCCUAGGGAUAACAGCGCAAUCCACUUCAAGAGCUCCUAUCGACAAGUGGGUUUACGACCUCGAUGUUGGAUCAGGGUAUCCCAGUGGUGCAGCCGCUACUAACGGUUCGUUUGUUCAACGAUUAAAACCCU